GGGGGUGUAGCUCAGUGGUAGAGCGUUCGCUUUGUGGUGAAAGGCCCGGGGUUCGAUCCUCGCAUCUCCA
Molecule: transfer RNA, 70 nt
Filed under: Stegodyphus mimosarum
Lineage: Eukaryota; Metazoa; Arthropoda; Arachnida; Araneae; Eresidae
Rfam family: tRNA
About the family: Transfer RNA (tRNA) molecules are approximately 80 nucleotides in length. Their secondary structure includes four short double-helical elements and three loops (D, anti-codon, and T loops).
Source: Rfam by way of RNAcentral